RNAcentral lists this ribosomal RNA (700 nucleotides) under Shigella sp. Its description in RNAcentral is "bacterial SSU rRNA". It matches the Rfam family "Bacterial small subunit ribosomal RNA", at positions 36 to 728 of the family's 1533-position model. Lineage: Bacteria; Pseudomonadati; Pseudomonadota; Gammaproteobacteria; Enterobacterales; Enterobacteriaceae. The record is from RNAcentral.
CUGGCGGCAGGCCUAACACAUGCAAGUCGAACGGUAACAGGAAGCAGCUUGCUUCUUGCUGACGAGUGGCGGACGGGUGAGUAAUGUCUGGGAAACUGCCUGAUGGAGGGGGAUAACUACUGGAAACGGUAGCUAAUACCGCAUAACGUCGCAAGACCAAAGAGGGGGACCUUCGGGCCUCUUGCCAUCGGAUGUGCCCAGAUGGGAUUAGCUUGUGGUGGGGUAACGGCUCACCAGGCGACGAUCCCUAGCUGGUCUGAGAGGAUGACCAGCCACACUGGAACUGAGACACGGUCCAGACUCCUACGGGAGGCAGCAGUGGGGAAUAUUGCACAAUGGGCGCAAGCCUGAUGCAGCCAUGCCGCGUGUAUGAAGAAGGCCUUCGGGUUGUAAAGUACUUUCAGCGGGGAGGAAGGGAGUAAAGUUAAUACCUUUGCUCAUUGACGUUACCCGCAGAAGAAGCACCGGCUAACUCCGUGCCAGCAGCCGCGGUAAUACGGAGGGUGCAAGCGUUAAUCGGAAUUACUGGGCGUAAAGCGCACGCAGGCGGUUUGUUAAGUCAGAUGUGAAAUCCCCGGGCUCAACCUGGGAACUGCAUCUGAUACUGGCAAGCUUGAGUCUCGUAGAGGGGGGUAGAAUUCCAGGUGUAGCGGUGAAAUGCGUAGAGAUCUGGAGGAAUACCGGUGGCGAAGGCGGCCCC